Cebus imitator (Panamanian white-faced capuchin) is the source of this 650-nucleotide long non-coding RNA. RefSeq lists it as uncharacterized. Lineage: Eukaryota; Metazoa; Chordata; Mammalia; Primates; Cebidae. The transcript has 2 exons. The record is from RefSeq and is a predicted model, not a curated record.
AGCAGGGCGGCGAUGGGCGUCACGUUGAUGCCCAUGAGCAUCUUGCUGUCGAUGUCGGGCAGCCCCAUGUUGCCGUACUUCACCUCGCGGAAAGCAAGCAGAAGAGAAUAAAUGCUGCUCUCAAUUGGAACUCCCUGAAACAACAUCGUGGAAUAUUGUGACCUGCACUGCACUGACACAGUAGCCAUCUGGGCAGCCCCCACGAUUCACUGAACACCACUUCCCCCGCAUGGAUGCGAGUCCACGGCACAUUAAACAUUAAAGCCAGUGGGGUUGACAAUCAGCGAGGCUGGCUCACAGGAUGUUGGGAGGUCCCCAGGUUGGGGUGCGCCAAGGGCUCUGGCCAGUGCCUGGUACAGCAAAUGUCCAGGUGGCUGCUGCUUUCCACUGAGACUUGAGGCUUCCGAAAGUUGGGGGCAAGGGGCUCAUCCAGAGCUGAAGACCCCAGCCCAUUCCUGUGCGUGGGUUCCAGGCGCCUUAGAAGGACCGUGGGCCAGGGAGCCAGGCCAGGCCGCGUUUGGAUCCCCACGUGUCCUUGUCACUGUGUGGCCCAGCUGGAAAGCACGGUCAAUCAUGCCUGGGAAUUGUGAAAAUUGUGUGAAGUGUCUGCAUACAGUAGGUGCUCAGUAAAGGUUUGUUGAGUUCGUAAA